This 1372-nucleotide ribosomal RNA is filed under the name uncultured bacterium. Its description in RNAcentral is "bacterial SSU rRNA". It matches the Rfam family "Bacterial small subunit ribosomal RNA", at positions 28 to 1381 of the family's 1533-position model. The record is from RNAcentral.
GAUGAACGCUGGCGGCGUGCCUAAUACAUGCAAGUCGAGCGAACGGACGAGAAGCUUGCUUCUCUGAUGUUAGCGGCGGACGGGUGAGUAACACGUGGAUAACCUACCUAUAAGACUGGGAUAACUUCGGGAAACCGGAGCUAAUACCGGAUAAUAUUUUGAACCGCAUGGUUCAAAAGUGAAAGACGGUCUUGCUGUCACUUAUAGAUGGAUCCGCGCUGCAUUAGCUAGUUGGUAAGGUAACGGCUUACCAAGGCAACGAUGCAUAGCCGACCUGAGAGGGUGAUCGGCCACACUGGAACUGAGACACGGUCCAGACUCCUACGGGAGGCAGCAGUAGGGAAUCUUCCGCAAUGGGCGAAAGCCUGACGGAGCAACGCCGCGUGAGUGAUGAAGGUCUUCGGAUCGUAAAACUCUGUUAUUAGGGAAGAACAUAUGUGUAAGUAACUGUGCACAUCUUGACGGUACCUAAUCAGAAAGCCACGGCUAACUACGUGCCAGCAGCCGCGGUAAUACGUAGGUGGCAAGCGUUAUCCGAAAUUAUGGGGCGUAAAGCGCGCGUAGGCGGUUUUUUAAGUCUGAUGUGAAAGCCCACGGCUCAACCGUGGAGGGUCAUUGGAAACUGGAAAACUUGAGUGCAGAAGAGGAAAGUGGAAUUCCAUGUGUAGCGGUGAAAUGCGCAGAGAUAUGGAGGAACACCAGUGGCGAAGGCGACUUUCUGGUCUGUAACUGACGCUGAUGUGCGAAAGCGUGGGGAUCAAACAGGAUUAGAUACCCUGGUAGUCCACGCCGUAAACGAUGAGUGCUAAGUGUUAGGGGGUUUCCGCCCCUUAGUGCUGCAGCUAACGCAUUAAGCACUCCGCCUGGGGAGUACGACCGCAAGGUUGAAACUCAAAGGAAUUGACGGGGACCCGCACAAGCGGUGGAGCAUGUGGUUUAAUUCGAAGCAACGCGAAGAACCUUACCAAAUCUUGACAUCCUUUGACAACUCUAGAGAUAGAGCCUUCCCCUUCGGGGGACAAAGUGACAGGUGGUGCAUGGUUGUCGUCAGCUCGUGUCGUGAGAUGUUGGGUUAAGUCCCGCAACGAGCGCAACCCUUAAGCUUAGUUGCCAUCAUUAAGUUGGGCACUCUAAGUUGACUGCCGGUGACAAACCGGAGGAAGGUGGGGAUGACGUCAAAUCAUCAUGCCCCUUAUGAUUUGGGCUACACACGUGCUACAAUGGACAAUACAAAGGGCAGCGAAACCGCGAGGUCAAGCAAAUCCCAUAAAGUUGUUCUCAGUUCGGAUUGUAGUCUGCAACUCGACUACAUGAAGCUGGAAUCGCUAGUAAUCGUAGAUCAGCAUGCUACGGUGAAUACGUUCCCGGGUCU